GCCGAGCUCAGUUACGAGAGCUUGUAACCCGAGUGGGGGCAUUAAAGUGAUGUGAACGCUGUUGUAGCGCUGCGGGCCUGGUCUGGGUGUGCUACUGCUGGCCCGCCCGUUCCAAGUUGCGUAGUGGACCGCCUGGGGCUUAUGCGAAAGCUGGGUCUCACGGUCCAUAAUGUGGCAGGCACAGCGUGAGGCUGGCUUCACAGAGCAGCGACAACUGCCCGCUUCCAACGGUGGAAGGAUAAUGGGCCGCUGCACUCCUAGGCCAAUUGGGCCUCGCAGCCUACUCCAACGGACCAUCACUUUU
RNAcentral lists this signal recognition particle RNA (304 nucleotides) under Aegilops tauschii subsp. strangulata. Its description in RNAcentral is "SRP RNA Plant_SRP". It matches the Rfam family "Plant signal recognition particle RNA". The record is from Rfam by way of RNAcentral. Lineage: Eukaryota; Viridiplantae; Streptophyta; Magnoliopsida; Poales; Poaceae.